AUUGAACGCUGGCGGCAGGCCUAACACAUGCAAGUCGAGCGAGAGGCGGACGGGUGAGUAACGUCUGGGAAACUGUCCGAUGGAGGGGGAUAACUACUGGAAACGGGAGCGAAAACCGCAUAUCACCAGAUGUGCCCAGAUGGGAUUAGCUAGUGGGUGGGGUAACGGCUCACCUAGGCGACGAUCCCUAGCGGGUCUGAGAGGAGGACCAGCCACACUGGAACUGAGACACGGUCCAGACUCCUACGGGAGGCAGCAGUGGGGAAUAUUGCACAAUGGGCGCAAGCCUGAUGCAGCCAUGCCGCGUGUGUGAAGAAGGCCUUCGGGUUGUAAAGCACUUUCAGCGGGGAGGCGUUACCCGCAGAAGAAGCACCGGCUAACUCCGUGCCAGCAGCCGCGGUAAUUC
RNAcentral lists this ribosomal RNA (406 nucleotides) under uncultured bacterium. RNAcentral's name for it is "partial 16S ribosomal RNA". It matches the Rfam family "Bacterial small subunit ribosomal RNA", at positions 29 to 526 of the family's 1533-position model. The record is from RNAcentral.